RNAcentral lists this ribosomal RNA (484 nucleotides) under uncultured bacterium. RNAcentral describes it as "partial 16S ribosomal RNA". It matches the Rfam family "Bacterial small subunit ribosomal RNA", at positions 28 to 523 of the family's 1533-position model. The record is from RNAcentral.
GAUGAACGCUGGCGGCGUGCUUAACACAUGCAAGUCGAACGGAAAUGUAAGGAAGCCUAGCGAAUUACAUUUUAGUGGCGGACGGGUGAGUAACGCGUGGAUAACCUGCCUUAUACUGGGGGAUAACAGUUAGAAAUGACUGCUAAUACCGCAUAAGCAUACGAAACCGCAUGGUUUUGUGUGAAAAACUCCGGUGGUAUAAGAUGGAUCCGCGUCUGAUUAGCUAGUUGGUGAGGUAAUGGCUCACCAAGGCGACGAUCAGUAGCCGGCCUGAGAGGGUGAACGGCCACAUUGGGACUGAGACACGGCCCAAACUCCUACGGGAGGCAGCAGUGGGGAAUAUUGCACAAUGGGCGAAAGCCUGAUGCAGCGACGCCGCGUGAGUGAAGAAGUAUUUCGGUAUGUAAAGCUCUAUCAGCAAGGAAGAAAAUGACGGUACCUGACUAAGAAGCCUCGGCUAACUACGUGCCAGCAGCCGCAGUAA